GGACUACUGGGGUAUCUAAUCCUGUUCGCUCCCCACGCUUUCGCGUCUCAGCGUCAGUACCGUCCCAGAGAACCGCCUUCGCCACUGGUGUUCUUCCCAAUAUCUGCGCAUUUCACCGCUACACUGGGAAUUCCGUUCUCCUCUUCCGGACUCUAGCUAGGUGGUUUCCCACGCGAACUGCGGUUGAGCCGCAGGUUUUGACGCGAGACCUACCAAGCCGCCUACACGCUCUUUACGCCCAAUAAAUCCGGACAACGCUCGCCCCCUACGUAUUACCGCGGCUGCUGGCAC
This 291-nucleotide ribosomal RNA is filed under the name uncultured bacterium. RNAcentral describes it as "partial 16S ribosomal RNA". The record is from RNAcentral.